AUUAUGUGUGAAAUGAUCACUUCUGGCAUAUUUUUUUGAUAACUUGUUCUUGGUGAUAUAAUGCUGUAAAUACUAAAUGUAUUAGUGAUUAUGUAUGAUUUGAUCGGGUGUCACAUUAUGACACAUAAAUUAGAUCAGGUGUCACGUUUUGACAUACAUUUGGAUCGGGAGUUAUGCUCCGACACAAAGUUGAUUGUUUGUAGGUCCCCUGACUGGACCCUUAUGUGAAGUUAUAGUAUGUUAAAGUUAUUGAUUGUGUUCUUUCUUAAUAUGAUUGGAUGUCACGACCCAACCCCGUAGGCCACGAUUGGGGCCCGACCUGGACCCCCCAUAUACCCAACUACCAGCUGUUAUCAAAUUGAACUAUAAAUAAAACAAUAUUAUAUAACAGAGCCCCAUUGGACGACAACAUUUUCAUAAAUCUGUAGCCCUUUUCUUUUAUAUCACAACAUGACAGGGCGCGCAAGCCGACAAGGCUGCCAUAACAUAAUAACAUAUAUCAUAUAUCACAUAGACCCAGCUGAAUCAAACUGACAUAUACAACCCACAUAUACAUGUCUACAGACCUCUAAGAAUAUAAAUGACAACAUAUGGCGGGACAAGGCCCCCGCUGUACCCCCGAAUGGAUAAAACAAUUCUAUACAUCAGUGGACAAUACCAAAACUAGGCCCCGAAACAAUGGAGCCUCUUUCAGCUGAGCCGCAUGGAAUCCUAAGAUAACAGAAUCCCAAACCUGUAUCUGUACCUGCGGUCAUGAAUGCAGCCCCCCGAGAAAGGGGGUCAUUACGACAUAUGUACUGAGUAUGUAAAACAUAACAUGAUACAACUGGAAGCAUAUCUGAAGUAGAGAAGUAGGGGAUAAAAUGUCAAAUCAGAAAACAUGUACCAGAACUCUGUGAAUCACAAAAACAUGCAUGCUCAAAUUUUCAAUAUAACUGGCCCCGUCAGGGGUCCGGUGAAUCAUAUAUAUAGUAUCAGUAUCAGGCCCCAGGCCAUCGUCAUAGUAUCAGUACCAGGCCCCAGGCCAUCAUCAUAGUAUCAGUAUCAGGCCCCAGGACAUCAUUAUAGUAUCAGUACCAGGACCCAGGCCAUCAUAUAUAUACAUACAGAUGCCGGCCCUCUAGCGAGUGACUCGGUGAAUAAUACAGUGAAUUGCACGAAUCGGUUAACCGGCCCGGGACUCGGAGAAGAUGUGUUACAGUAUACACGAGUAGAGUAGUGAGAAACCAAACACAGCUUAAAUCAUUAUCCAAGACUCAACUAUAUAAGAGGACUAAGUUAUUGUCUAAGAAUUCGAGUAACAGUAUAGUCAUUCUAGCCGCCCUCUAAAUGCCAUUAGGGGCUACACUAAUUAUAUCUCGAGGUUCCUAGAUAUAUACCAAAGUAAGACUAUUCACUUAAGAGUUCCAGAGAAACAGUUUGACUAUUAUAGGAAUUCAAUAUUUAGAAGUAAUUAAGAGAUGUUUCAGAAUGGAGUUGCCUCGGAGUUCAGAUCAGAUUCAACUUACAACUAAAUCAAGGACAUGCCCAAAAGAAGAAAGAGAACAAGCUCUAUAUGAUUUGUACUUUCCUUUAGGUGAUCUUCAUUAUACAUUUCGUACCCGGCCCUUCAUGGGGCUCGGUGAACCACUAUGGCAUCGUAAUCUCAUUUUCGUAUCAAAUACAUCUCAAUGGAAAUGAGAGAUAGCUUCCCACACAUUACAUUCUGACAUAUAGAAGCCCUACUAGGCAAUACUUAACCCUCACAGGAACUCUAAUACUGAACAGUGGAUAGGGGUUAUGAGGCAUACUCGGAAUUCUGGGAAUGGAAUUAUCCCCACACUUCAUAUACAAUCCACUUAAGGCUAAACAUUGCCAAAAGGAAAGAAAGAUAGCUAUACGAACUUAUACCAAAACAUGCCAAGAGAAAGCUCUACAUACCUUGUCUGAAUUAUUCCUUAUCCUGCUUGCCUCACCGUCCUUUGAACCUAUUCAACAUGAAAGUAGUAUGAAUAUCAACGCCUUUUACUUUCCAGCACCCCAGGUUACAUCUUAGUAUUAAUGGAAUCUAUUUCCUUAGUCGUUUCCCCGACAAGUUCUGUUAUUCGCUAAGGCGUCGACGAAAAUUAGGCAGCACCUCCCCUAUAAUGUGCCCUAUCCAAAUUUACAAUUAGGUCCCUAAGACCUACAUCCAACCAACAACAACAACCUGCAUCAAUUCAGACCAACAAUAUACAACAUAAACUCCAAACGACUUAUUCAAAAAUACGGUAGCACAAUAGGGCGUCUAGCCUUUAUUUUGUAACGCCUUUCAUUAUACGCAACGAGGGGUCGUGUGGAUUCAACUAGAAGCACCCUAACCCACAUUAGAACAUAUUUAGUCCCUGCAACAACACAUCAAACCUCUGCAGCAGCACCUCACACGAACAACACUAUCCUUCGACGACAAUUUAACUAUAGCGAUUCCAAUUUAGUUUAUUUCGAACGUCGAGCAUUUCUACGACGUUCUUAAUCUUCCAGAAGCAUGCAAGGGGUGUAAUACACCAUAUAACAAUACCAUAAACUCCAAUUUAAAAAUUAAAGGUCUUACCUUACGUUAAACUUGUCAAACUCGCCAAAACUAUCCAAAAUGUGAAAUCUGGACAGCCCACUGUCUUAUUUGUCGCUUAGUUUCGGAGGGGUAAUUGAGGGAAACAGGAUUUGUGUCCUCAAUGAAAGUUAUAGACAUGUGUAUCAAGGUCACAAAUAAUUUUUAAUUACCUCUACAACAAUUUUGUAUGAAAAUAUAUGACCAAAACACCAACAGCAGUCCGUGUAAGAUUUCCAAAACCAAAAUCUGGGCAGUACCUCCUCUACACUUCAUCACCCUUUUUCGAGCUGAUACAAGUAAAACUGGAUUUUGGAGUCUAAAUGAAAGUUAUAGAACCAUGAAAUACCUUUCCAAAACAUACUGAAUCACCCGACACGAAGCUAUACACAAGAAGUUAUACCAAUAUUACUAACAACAGUCCCUUCCAAAAACGGGUUGGUUAAUUAGUUGUUAACAUUUUAUCCUUCAACUUUCUCUUAUUUCUUUCCAAGUGUAAACUGAAACCAUGGUUCCGUAGGCAUCCUAAGACACAUGUAUACACCCCCACAUGGUUGAAAAACAUUGUAGAUAAUUAAUUCACGGAGGAAAAUUGAAGAACUCACCUCAAAGUCUUCAAACCAUGGCUGCCUCUUCCUCUCACGUUUUCUCUCUAUUUUGGUUGCUGGAGUUUCAGCUUCAAAUGGAAUAAGAAUGACUUAAUAGUCAUCCAAAUCCACAUAUAUACCCCUCUUUAGAAGGUGCCACGUGGCAGCCCCCUAGGACGCCACCUAGGCUCAUGCGGCCUAUCACACGCCACCACGUGGCAGCGGGGUCCACCCCCCCAAGUAGGUAGGUGAGUCACCUGCUUGCUUGAGGUGCUUGCUUGUCACCUCCUUGCUUGACUUUCGUAAGUUCGGAAACUAGUUUUUUCUCCCUCUCGUAGGUUCGUAAUCUUGUCUUAUUUUAAGAGCCUAUGUAACCCAUGCUACACAAGCUUGGUAUGUACUCCAAUAGCUUAAGUAUGUAAGACUUCUAACUUAUUAGUUUACGUAGAUAAGUCGAGUUCUACGACUCGUUACUUGGCCUCCAACUCCUUCCGACUUCUCUUGACCCUAUUUCCAAUCUUCCCUACCACGGGGUGUCCCAUUCUCCCUUCUUAGAGUUGUUCAAUAGGGUCGUAACUUAAGUAGCUCACAUACUAGCUUCUAAGUAACUUAAGGAACAUUCCGAGUUCAAAGAUGUGGGGUGUAACAUUAGAGAUGAGAUUGGUUAAUUUAUUCUGUAUAUAUACUCUGUUAUGUUGAGUUUUCAUUUCUAUGAUUUGCUUACUGGCUAACCGUGUAAUUCUAUCAGUACACCAUUAUUUUUGUGUAUGGAUACUACUCUUUCUCUCACUUUUGUUGAGUACAGGGCAUAUUCAGCCGACUAUGGAGAGACCUCACCUAGAGGAAUAGAAAUCUUGUUCAAAUCCAAGGGGACCGGUGUUCCUCUUUGAUCUCCUUCACGUGGAUAGCUUGGAUUAGUUUAAAGAUUUCUUAUGGCCAUGUUGUUUCAAAAGAAGGAGUAGUGGUAGAUCCGCAAAGAUUAAAGCAGUUCACAACUUGGCUAGGCCUUGUUCCGUGACCGAAGUUAGAAGUUUUAUGGGACUGGACAGUUAUUAUCGUCACUUCAUGAAAAACUUUGCUUCUAUUGCUACUCACUUGACCAGGAUGACUAAAAAGGAGGUGCCAUUCGAGUGGGCUAACAAGUGUGAAAAGAGCUUCGAAAAUCUCAAGACUCUUCUAAUCACAACACUAAUUUUGACCCUGCCGGUCGAAGGGCAUAUUCAGCCGGUUGCGAAGAGACCUCACAUAGAAAACCGCUAGGUGACCAGAGUUCAAGGGUGAACCAAUUCUUUCAGGCUACUAUGGGCUCUUCUAUAUCUUAGUCCUUCACUCAAAGCUUGACUCUCAAAACACUUGUUUAUUUUAUGACAUUGGGGACGCAUCCCUUUUCCUUUAGACUGAUUUUUUCAUUAGAGCUUGGGUACAUCAAUUUUCACAUUCUAGGGAUAUAUUUCUUCAUGUUUAGUUAAGCUGACUGAGUUUAUGGGGAAUCAACACCCUUCUUCUUAUA
Long non-coding RNA from Solanum dulcamara, 4663 nucleotides. RefSeq lists it as uncharacterized. The transcript has 4 exons. Lineage: Eukaryota; Viridiplantae; Streptophyta; Magnoliopsida; Solanales; Solanaceae. The record is from RefSeq and is a predicted model, not a curated record.